Gallus gallus (chicken) is the source of this 1250-nucleotide long non-coding RNA. NCBI's taxonomy places the organism in Eukaryota, Metazoa, Chordata, Aves, Galliformes, Phasianidae. The record is from Ensembl.
CGCGGUGCUGGAGCGCGGCCGAGCGCCGGGGAGCGGCGCACCUAAAUCUCCCCUGCCUGUCCCUCCAGAGAUGUCCCCCUUUAUUCACAACUGCUUUUUAAUUGCCUUUUGUCAAUUACAGCAAGAUGGAUCGGGUUCCUCAGGGAGGCAGUAAUUAGCGCGGGGAUGAAUGCCGAGGCAGCCAAGCUCCCUCUUCACACGGCGGUGGUGAUUUGUAAACCUGUCACCAAACCGCUGAACCCGGCUUGGCGUGAGCAGCUCCAUCUCUGCAGCACGUGGCUGUGCGGCUCAGGUGAUGGGUGAGGCUCAGGGUGAGGGUGAGGCUCAGGAUUAGCAGCAGAGGGGUCUGGAUCCCAGGCGGGGUUGCCCUGCCUCACCUGCAGUGCCCGCACCGCCGCUCUCCUGACUCCCUUCCACCCUCCCACUCUGCUUCGUGGCUUUCGUCUAAUUCCCUACGCCCCUCUCCUAUUUUUCUUCUUGACAGAAGAAGCAGGCUCAUGCAUCUAGAAACUCUACGGCCUUUCUUGUAGCUGCAGAUUAAAUUUCCUUGCUCAGUGCCUGCUGGCCACAGGCCGUGCCACUAUACCUGGGUGUACGCCCCAUCCCCAGCCCGGGGGGAGAGGUUCUGUGCAGGGCAUGGGGACAUCCCUGCACUGUUUGGGGCCACACCAGAGCUCAGCACCAGCUUCCCCAGCCCCUGUAUCUCUUGCUCUACUCUGCCCUUGACCCUGGGGAGGGUGCAGCACGUGGAGGGAGCCCGGCUGUUCUAAUUAAACCAUGUUUGCCAACUCCCGUGGUAAGCAUCGCUAAUUAAAAUUAGGGAGAGCAGCACUGCCUUCCGUGCCUCCUGGAGACGUGAACAAGUUCCCUGCGUGCUGCCCGGGCUCAGAGGGCGCUGGGGGCUGCACAGCACUGCAGGCAGAGCCCAUGGGGCAGCAGGGCCAUGGGGUGCCGUGGGACUGCUGGUGCUGACCCCUCCAUCCCCACGUGGCGUGACUGCGCCCCGCAGCCCAGACACGCUCUUUUCAUGCUUGAACCAUUGGCCUAACGAUUUCACGUUUUUUCCCCAUUUUCCUGUAUUAUUAUUUGUCGUUGUUCCUGUUGCAGUUCAGUGACCAUGAAUUAUUGAAUGUCUGCUCGUUCAGUAACUCUUUACUUCCACCUCGGCACACUGCAGCCUCGCAGCUGCACAGGACGGCCGCCAGCACCGCUCCCAGCCUGGAAUAUCUGCAGCCCCCAUCCCACUGCCC